RNAcentral lists this ribosomal RNA (680 nucleotides) under Lactiplantibacillus plantarum. RNAcentral describes it as "bacterial SSU rRNA". It matches the Rfam family "Bacterial small subunit ribosomal RNA", at positions 56 to 701 of the family's 1533-position model. The record is from RNAcentral. Lineage: Bacteria; Bacillati; Bacillota; Bacilli; Lactobacillales; Lactobacillaceae.
UGCAAGUCGAACGAACUCUGGUAUUGAUUGGUGCUUGCAUCAUGAUUUACAUUUGAGUGAGUGGCGAACUGGUGAGUAACACGUGGGAAACCUGCCCAGAAGCGGGGGAUAACACCUGGAAACAGAUGCUAAUACCGCAUAACAACUUGGACCGCAUGGUCCGAGUUUGAAAGAUGGCUUCGGCUAUCACUUUUGGAUGGUCCCGCGGCGUAUUAGCUAGAUGGUGAGGUAACGGCUCACCAUGGCAAUGAUACGUAGCCGACCUGAGAGGGUAAUCGGCCACAUUGGGACUGAGACACGGCCCAAACUCCUACGGGAGGCAGCAGUAGGGAAUCUUCCACAAUGGACGAAAGUCUGAUGGAGCAACGCCGCGUGAGUGAAGAAGGGUUUCGGCUCGUAAAACUCUGUUGUUAAAGAAGAACAUAUCUGAGAGUAACUGUUCAGGUAUUGACGGUAUUUAACCAGAAAGCCACGGCUAACUACGUGCCAGCAGCCGCGGUAAUACGUAGGUGGCAAGCGUUGUCCGGAUUUAUUGGGCGUAAAGCGAGCGCAGGCGGUUUUUUAAGUCUGAUGUGAAAGCCUUCGGCUCAACCGAAGAAGUGCAUCGGAAACUGGGAAACUUGAGUGCAGAAGAGGACAGUGGAACUCCAUGUGUAGCGGUGAAAUGCGUAGAUAUAUGG